UGUCGCCACUUGCUCACACAAAUGUCAAAGAAGCUUUAAUACAGUGAAGAUCUUAUUGUCCUGUCUCUAGAACCUUCUUUUCUCUCCCCUUAUAAUCUCAUUUCUCUCUCCUCCACGCUUCAAGCUCUCAAAUCAACAUUUUCAGAAGAAAGUCACAAACUUUACCCAAAACGCAGUUUCUAAUUUUGGCAACAAAAUCUAUCUAAUCUGCUUUGGUUUCUCUAAAGUUACUAAAUUUAUACAAUUUAGUUUAUGGGUUUGAGAUAAAUAACGAAAAAUGGAGGAACUGAAAGUGGAAAUGGAGGAAGAAACGGUGACGUUUACUGGUUCAGUGGCUGCUUCUUCGUCUGUAGGAUCAUCAUCGUCUCCGAGACCAAUGGAGGGUCUGAACGAAACAGGACCACCGCCUUUUCUGACGAAGACUUACGAAAUGGUGGAGGAUCCGGCGACUGACACUGUAGUUUCUUGGAGUAAUGGUCGUAACAGCUUUGUGGUGUGGGAUUCUCAUAAGUUCUCAACAACUCUCCUUCCUCGUUACUUCAAGCAUAGCAAUUUCUCGAGUUUUAUUCGUCAGCUUAAUACUUAUGGAUUCAGAAAGAUUGAUCCAGAUAGAUGGGAAUUUGCGAAUGAAGGGUUUUUAGCUGGACAAAAGCAUCUCUUGAAGAACAUUAAAAGAAGGAGGAACAUGGGAUUGCAGAAUGUGAAUCAGCAAGGAUCUGGAUCUGGCUCUGGGUCAGGGAUGUCAUGUGUUGAAGUCGGGCAAUACGGGUUUGACAAGGAGGUAGAGAGGUUGAAGAGGGAUCAUAGUGUGCUUGUAGCUGAGGUAGUUAGGCUGAGACAGCAGCAACAUAGUUCCAAGAGUCAAGUUGCAGCGAUGGAGCAACGGUUGCUUGUUACUGAGAAGAGACAGCAGCAGAUGAUGACGUUUCUCGCUAAGGCGUUGAACAAUCCGAACUUUGUACAGCAGUUUGCUUUGAUGAGUAAAGAGAAGAAGAGUCUGUUUGGUUUGGAUGUUGGGAGGAAACGGAGGCUUACUUCUACUCCAAGCUUGGGGACUAUGGAGGAGAAUUUGUUGCAUGAUCAAGAGUUUGAAAGAAUGAAAGAUGAUAUGGAGAUAUUACUCGCUGCAGCUAUCGACAAUGAGUCGAGUAAUUUGAUGCCUAUGAAGGAGGAACAGUGUUGUGAGGCUAUGAAUGUGAUGAUGGGAGAUGGUAAUCUGGAAGCAGAGUUGGAUGUGAAAGUGGAAGAUUUGGUUGGUUCACCUUUGGAUUGGGACAGUCAAGAUCUACAUGACAUGGUUGAUCAAAUGGGUUUUCUUGGUUCAGAACCUUGACUUUACGGCUGAACACAUCUACUUGUCGAAAGACCGAUAUACUCGGUCUCUAAGUUGUGAUCUUAGAAGCAUGAGAUGGAGCUGCAAUAAGAGUAUCAAGCUCCGUGUUAUGUUCAGCAUUUUGGAGUUUAUGUUAUGAGAGAAGACCUGAAUUUAGUAACUUUUGUUAAGAUUUUUUUGGGAAAAGAGGUCAAGGUACAAAAAGGAAAUCGGAAAAAUGUCGCCGGAACUAAAACGGAAGUUCGGAUCUUGUUGGUUACCGGUGGCAGAGAGUCAGUCGCAUUAGAUCCGGUGGUUUCAAGGUCCACGGCUUUGAGGCAGAGAAGAAGGAUUGAAAACCCCGUUGGAAGAAACCAGUUUCCGACGAUGCACCUCACCGUCAACUCGCCACUCUUGCUACAAACCU
RNA transcript from Arabidopsis lyrata subsp. lyrata, 1739 nucleotides. It is a transcript of the gene named heat stress transcription factor A-2, with no coding region annotated. The record is from RefSeq and is a predicted model, not a curated record. NCBI's taxonomy places the organism in Eukaryota, Viridiplantae, Streptophyta, Magnoliopsida, Brassicales, Brassicaceae. The transcript has 4 exons.